CCUACGGGUGGCAGCAGUCGAGAAUCAUUCACAAUGGGGGAAACCCUGAUGGUGCGACGCCGCGUGGGGGAAUGAAGGUCUUCGGAUUGUAAACCCCUGUCAUGUGGGAGCAAAUUAAAAAGAUAGUACCACAAGAGGAAGAGACGGCUAACUCUGUGCCAGCAGCCGCGGUAAUACAGAGGUCUCAAGCGUUGUUCGGAAUCACUGGGCGUAAAGCGUGCGUAGGCUGUUUCGUAAGUCGUGUGUGAAAGGCGCGGGCUCAACCCGCGGACGGCACAUGAUACUGCGAGACUAGAGUGAUGGAGGGGGAACCGGAAUGCUCGGUGUAGCAGUGAAAUGCGUAGAUAUCGAGAGGAACACUCGUGGCGAAGGCGGGUUCCUGGACAUUAACUGACGCUGAGGCACGAAGGCCAGGGGAGCGAAAGGGAUUAGAUACCCGAGUAGUC
Molecule: ribosomal RNA, 446 nt
Filed under: uncultured bacterium
Lineage: Bacteria
Description: partial 16S ribosomal RNA
Rfam family: Bacterial small subunit ribosomal RNA
Source: RNAcentral